Molecule: ribosomal RNA, 468 nt
Filed under: uncultured bacterium
Lineage: Bacteria
Description: partial 16S ribosomal RNA
Rfam family: Bacterial small subunit ribosomal RNA
Source: RNAcentral
GACGAACGCUGGCGGCGUGCUUAACACAUGCAAGUCGAACGGAAAGGCCCUGCUUUUGUGGGGUGCUCGAGUCGCGAACGGGUGAGUAACACGUGAGUAACCUGCCCUUGACUUUGGGAUAACUUCAGGAAACUGGGGCUAAUACCGGAUAGGAGCUCCUGCUGCUUGGUGGGGGUUGGAAAGUUUCGGCGGUUGGGGAUGGACUCGCGGCUUAUCAGCUUGUUGGUGGGGUAGUGGCUUACCAAGGCUUUGACGGGUAGCCGGCCUGAGAGGGUGACCGGCCACAUUGGGACUGAGCUACGGCCCAGACUCCUACGGGAGGCAGCAGUGGGGAAUAUUGCACAAUGGGCGGAAGCCUGAUGCAGCAACGCCGCGUGCGGGAUGACGGCCUUCGGGUUGUAAACCGCUUUCGCCUGUGACGAAGCGUGAGUGACGGUAAUGGGUAAAGAAGCACCGGCUAACUACGUG